GAAGGCGGGGACCCGGGCCCCGCGGGCCUGCAGCGCCCCCGCACCCGGUUCCACGCGCCCAGGGCCGCCCCCGCGGAGAGAGGGGGCGCGAGGGGCGCGCCUCUCGCUCGGACACCCUCUCCCAGCUCGCGCCCCAGGUAACUUAAACCCAAUUAUAAAUGGCUUUGGCUAUAAAGUGUUCUUGAAUGAAAACGUUUAGGAAGUAGGCCUGGAUUCAGAUGCUUCAGAGGCUCAAAGGUUUUCUAAUUGUUUAUGGAGAAGAUUGAUCUUCACAAGCUAGUUUUUUCAUAGGCAAAAGCAAAAGUCUCUUCCUGUGUUAUUAAGUGAAAAUGGCUGAUUAUAAAAAGGCCCUGGGUCAGGAGGUUGCCGAUUCCAGGAAGAAUCAGACCUUAUCCCUGCCCUUGAGUCUCAAGAAGAGGAAAGGAAAACAAAUAAGCAUAGUACAGUGUGAAAAGUGGGACUGUGGUCAAAUUUCAGUCUGCAAACUCAGAAUGGAUGAAAUAUGAAAGACUGACAACAUCAAGUUGUCAAGUAGGACAGGAUGUGGAACCACUGGAACUCAUACGUGACUGAUGGGAAUGCAAAAUGAUACCGAUCCCUUGGAAAACUCCUUGGCAACUUUAAUAAACAUAAAUCUACCCUAUGAUCCAGAAAUUCCACUCUGAGUCACGUCUCCAAGAGCAAUGAAAAUAUAUACCCACAAAAGACUGCACAUAAAUCAGAACAGCAUUGUUGAUAAUAGCCCAAACUGGAAACAACCUAAAUAUUCACCAAUAGAAGCCUGAAUAAAUUCAUACUGUGGGAUACUCUACAGCAAUGAGGUAGAUGAACUAUUACUGCCUACAACAACAUGAAAGAAAGUAAAAGUCACUACUUUGAUAAUUAUAAACACAAAAAAGUAAACAUAUCAUUCUAUUCAUAUGAAGAGUUAUCUAAAUAAUUAGUAAAAUUGAUCUAUGAUUUUAGAAGUGGUACCUCUGGAGGAGAAGGAGGGGUACUGUUACUGACUGAGAAGGGAGUUCUGGAAAAAUUCUAUACUUUGAUCUUUGGGAUGGUUACACAGAUGUAUAGACAGGCAAAAAUUCAUUGAACUUUACAUUUAUUAUUUGUACAUUUUACCAUAUGCAAAUUGUCCCUCAAUUUAAAAAAUCUCAUUUUCCUUAAAAAAACACAGAGGCAAACAUUUCAAAAACAAUAUCUCACCUUAGAUGAGAUAUAGAGGCAAGCAGGCAGCCCCACUAUGAGAGCCUGGAAAAGGCAUUAGACACACUGUGUGUGGGGUGCAGUAGGGACAGAGAGACACUCAAGGAGGGUUUCUUGUGGGAGGUGACAGCUAAACAUUGAAGGACCUGUACUGAAAGUCAAACAAAGAGAAGGCUAAGGGCAUUCCAGGCUCAAGGAAACAGCAUGCAAGGGCACUCACAGCAUCCCAAGAGAAGUUGACUGAGAGAAGGAGGGUGUGGGGAAGGGACAAAACGACGAAGCCACAGAUGUCAAUGGGAGUCAGAUCUGACAGCUCACAAGCCAAAGGGAGGCCCAAGGGAGGCCCCGCAGAGUUGUGAUUGGAGUUGGACUUUAAGGAGGCCACUCUGGAGGAAGGGAGGAAGGUGGUUUAGAGGUGGUUGCAGUAAUCCACAGAUGGGGUAUGGGGCCUGAACUAGCGCAGCGGCCAUGGGGAUUGGGGCUGGGAGAAGAGCUUCCAGAGAUACUUAGGAGGAAGACUUUGGUAACCAGCAGUAUAGCGGGACAGGAGAGGAAAUCGUUAAGGAAACUCAUGGGUUCUUGCCUUUCAUGGCAAGGUGGAGCUAUUUACUGAGAAAAAGAUAGGAAGAGCUACAUUUAUUUAUUUAUUUAUUAUA
This 1859-nucleotide long non-coding RNA is filed under the name Homo sapiens (human). Its description in RNAcentral is "HSALNT0310387". The record is from RNAcentral. Lineage: Eukaryota; Metazoa; Chordata; Mammalia; Primates; Hominidae.